AUUGAACGCUGGCGGCAGGCCUAACACAUGCAAGUCGAGCGGAUGAAGGGAGCUUGCUCCUGGAUUCAGCGGCGGACGGGUGGGUAAUGCCUAGGAAUCUGCCUGGUAGUGGGGGAUAACGUCCGGAAACGGGCGCUAAUACCGCAUACGUCCUGAGGGAGAAAGUGGGGGAUCUUCGGACCUCACGCUAUCAGAUGAGCCUAGGUCGGAUUAGCUAGUUGGUGGGGUAAAGGCCUACCAAGGCGACGAUCCGUAACUGGUCUGAGAGGAUGAUCAGUCACACUGGAACUGAGACACGGUCCAGACUCCUACGGGAGGCAGCAGUGGGGAAUAUUAGACAAUGGGCGAAAGCCUGAUCCAGCCAUGCCGCGUGUGUGAAGAAGGUCUUCGGAUUGUAAAGCACUUUAAGUUGGGAGGAAGGGCAGUGAGUUAAUACCUUGCUGUUUUGACGUUACCAACAGAAUAAGCACCGGCUAACUUCGUG
Molecule: ribosomal RNA, 484 nt
Filed under: uncultured bacterium
Lineage: Bacteria
Description: partial 16S ribosomal RNA
Rfam family: Bacterial small subunit ribosomal RNA
Source: RNAcentral